AAUUUUCAUGUUCUCAUUGAAAUGCUGCCACCUGCUGGAGGAACGUUUCCACUUCAUCAAGCUGCUGAACGGAUCCACUUGUAGUUUGUAUCUUAAAAGUAUAAACAUAGAUGAUUCAUUUCAAAAGUUUUGUGUAAAUUGUCACAGUUGUUUACUGUCAUGAGACUGUUACUGUAGAGAAUGGAGUGCAUUUCACAGUUGGACACACUAACUUUUUUUUCUUAAUAUUAUUUCACUUGUGCACCUUAGCAUCACCAAAGAUGGACAAUCACAGUAUAAGUAUAUCUUUUUUUUAAAAGAUAUACAAUUUGGAGAAUUAUUUACAUGUAGCAUCACAGGAUUAUGUUUGUGUCAAAAAUGUCCAAAUACAAACUGUCAAAAAAAGUCAUACUAUAUAAUAUGUCGUCCAAAAUCACCAAAAAAAGUCAUAGUAUAGUAUGUCGUCCAAAAUCAGUCAAAAAAAGUCAUAGUAUAGUAUGUCGUCCAAAAUCACUUAAAAAAAGUCAAUAGUAUAGUAUGUCGUCCAAAAUCAGUCAAAAAAAGUCAUAGUAUAGUAUGUCGUCCAAAAUCAGUCAAAAAAAGUCAUAGUAUAGUAUGUCGUCCAAAAUCAGUCAAAAAAGUCAGAGUUUAGUAUGUGGUCCAAAAUCUGUCAAAAAGUCAUAGGAUAGUAUGUCGUCCAAAAUCAGUCAAAAAAGUCAGAGUUUAGUAUGUGGUCCAAAAUCAGUCAAAAAGUCAUAGUAUAGUAUGUUGUCCAAAAUCAGUCCAAAAAGUCAUAGUAUAGUAUGUCGUCCAAAAUCAGACAAAAAGUCAUAGUAUAGUAUGUCGUCCAAAAUCAGUCAAAAAAGUCAGAGUUUAGUAUGUGGUCCAAAAUCAGUUCAAAAAGUCAUAGUAUAGUAUGUCGUCCAAAAUCAGUUCAAAAAGUCAGAGUAUAGUAUGUCGUCCAAAAUCAUUCAAAAAGUCAGAGUAUAGUAUGUCGUCCAAAAUCAGACAAAAAGUCAUAGUAUAGUAUGUUGUCCAAAAUCAGUUUAAAAAGUCAGAGUAUAGUAUGUCGUCCAAAAUCAGUUUAAAAAGUCAGAGUAUACUAUGUCGUCCAAAAUCAGACAAAAAGUCAUAGUAUAGUAUGUUGUCCAAAAUCAGUCCAAAAAGUCAGAGUAUAGUAUGUCGUCCAAAAUCAGACAAAAAGUCAUAGUAUAGUAUGUCGUCCAAAAUCAG
Solea solea (common sole) is the source of this 1212-nucleotide long non-coding RNA. RefSeq lists it as uncharacterized. The transcript is spliced from 2 exons. Lineage: Eukaryota; Metazoa; Chordata; Actinopteri; Pleuronectiformes; Soleidae. The record is from RefSeq and is a predicted model, not a curated record.